GGUUGUGUGGUCUAGAGGUAUGAUACCUGCUUAGGGUUUCUGAUACAGAGGAUCGAAUGCAGGUGGUCCGGAGUUCGAUUCUCCGCUCAACCC
Fomitiporia mediterranea MF3/22 is the source of this 93-nucleotide non-coding RNA. Lineage: Eukaryota; Fungi; Basidiomycota; Agaricomycetes; Hymenochaetales; Hymenochaetaceae. The record is from Rfam.